GAUGAACGCUGGCGGCGUGCCUAAUACAUGCAAGUCGAGCGAACAGACGAGGAGCUUGCUCCUCUGACGUUAGGGGCGGACGGGUGAGUAACACGUGGAUAGCCUCCCUAUACGACUGGGAUAACUACGGGAAACCGGUGCUAAUACCGGAGAAUAUAUUGAACCGCAUGGUUCAAUAGUGAAAGACGGUUUUGCUGUCACUUAUAGAUGGAUCCGCGCCGCAUUAGCUAGUUGGUAAGGUAACGGCUUACCAAGGCGGCGAUGGGUAGCCGACCUGAGAGGGUGGUCGGCGACACUGCAGCGGAGACACGCUCCAGACUCCUACGGGAGGCAGCAGUAGGGAGUCUUCCGCAAUGGGCGGAGGCCUGACGGAGCAACGCCGCGUGGGUGAUGAAGGUCUUCUGAUCGUAAAACUCUGUUAUUAGGGAAGAACAAAGGUUUAAGUAACUAUGCACGUCUUGACGGUACCUAGUCAGAAAGCCACGGCUAACUACGUG
Molecule: ribosomal RNA, 497 nt
Filed under: uncultured bacterium
Lineage: Bacteria
Description: partial 16S ribosomal RNA
Rfam family: Bacterial small subunit ribosomal RNA
Source: RNAcentral